GACCUUAAAUAGUAUAAAAACCCUUAUUGAAUUGAUUUACCUUGAGUUAGGGUUGAGAAUAAUUAUGUUGAAAAGGUUCAAGUUUGGGGUUAAAUGGGGAAAGUGAAAGGCAAAAGAGAAAGAAAAGCAAAAGAUGAAAAAGAAAAAUACAUGUGAAAAGGAAAGAAAAGAAGAAAAGAGUUUAUGCAUGUAAAAAGAACUCAAUGUAAAAUGAAAAAGGGAAAAGUUGGGAAUGAGUGAGAUUGGUUGAAAAGAGAGUGUGCUUGAACUUUGAAUGAUGAUUUAAACUCUCUUAACUCAAGGAUUUUGUUUCGAGAAGAACCAAUUUUCUUGAUAGCCCAGCCACAAUACAAGCCUUGGAAAAGUCCUUGUGAUGACAUAUGCAUGUGAAGAUUUUGAUUGUUUAAGAUGAAUGACAAUAUUGUUUUAUGUGACAUGUAAAUAGUAGAGAGUAGAGUGACCUCCCAAAACACUUGAGUGAUUGAGUGAAACCUUGU
Molecule: long non-coding RNA, 497 nt
Filed under: Vigna radiata
Lineage: Eukaryota; Viridiplantae; Streptophyta; Magnoliopsida; Fabales; Fabaceae
Description: long non-coding RNA (VRAD_LNC018556)
Source: RNAcentral